UUCCGGUUGAUCCCGCCGGACCUGACUGCUAUCGGAUUGAUACUAAGCCAUGCGAGUCAUUGUAGUAAUACAAGGCAGACGGCUCAGUAACGCGUAGUCAACCUACCCUAUGGACGGGGAUAACCUCGGGAAACUGAGAAUAAUACCCGAUAGAACAUUAUGCCUGGAAUGGUUUAUGUUUCAAAUAAUUUAUUGCCGUAGGAUGGGACUGCGGCCUAUCAGUUUGUUGGUGAGGUAAUGGCCCACCAAGACUAUUACAGGUACGGGCUCUGAGAGGAGUAGCCCGGAGAUGGGUACUGAGACACGGACCCAGGCCCUAUGGGGCGCAGCAGGCGAGAAAACUUUGCAAUGUGCGAAAGCACGACAAGGUUAAUCCGAGUGGUUUCUGCUAAAGGAACCUUUUGUCAGUCCUAGAAACACUGAUGAAUAAGGGGUGGGCAAGUUCUGGUGUCAGCCGCCGCGGUAAAACCAGCACCUCAAGUGGUCAGGAUGAUAUUGGGCCUAAAGCAUCCGUAGCCUGCUUUGUAAGUUUUCGGUUAAAUCCAUACGCUCAACGUAUGGGCUGCCGGGAAUACUGCAAAGCUAGGGAGUGGGAGAGGUAGACGGUACUCGGUAGGAAGGGGUAAAAUCCUUUGAUCUAUUGAUGACCACCUGUGGCGAAGGCGGUCUACCAGAACACGUCCGACGGUGAGGGAUGGAAGCUGGGGGAGCAAACCGGAUUAGAUACCCGGGUAGUCCCAGCUGUAAACUAUGCAAACUCAGUGAUGCAUUGGCUUGAUGCCAAUGCAGUGCUGCAGGGAAGCCGUUAAGUUUGCCGCCUGGGAAGUACGUACGCAAGUAUGAAACUUAAAGGAAUUGGCGGGGGAGCACCACAAGGGUGAAGCCUGCGGUUCAAUUGGAGUCAACGCCGGAA
This 913-nucleotide ribosomal RNA is filed under the name uncultured archaeon. Its description in RNAcentral is "bacterial SSU rRNA". It matches the Rfam family "Archaeal small subunit ribosomal RNA", at positions 1 to 923 of the family's 1478-position model. The record is from RNAcentral.